GAUCGCCGGCGGCCCGCAGCCGGAGCGCGGACGCGCCGCUCCCGCAGCGCUUCCGCCCCGAUCCCGUCCGCAGGAGCGUACCCGCACGGCACGGUCACCCCGAGCUCCGCGCCGUGCCCGGCCGAGGCGCUCUGCCGGCCGAAGCCCCGCGGCGCCGUCCCGGAACAGAGCGGCGUCCCCGGGGAGCGGAGCGCUACGAGCGCGGCUGCGCGGAACCGUCGCCGCGUGGCGGUGCUCUGCUGCGCGUGGGACGCGGCCCGAAUCGCUCGGGGCUGCAGGAGGACGAAGCUCCAGCCCUGCGCUAACGGGGCUCCGAGAGGCCGGAGUCCUCGGGCCCGGUUCCAGCACCGCCUCGCACGUCCGUCCUUUCCUCCGCACGUUCCAGCGCGCGAGGUUUAAUUCUUCCAUGGGAACGCACGCGGAGGAGUUGCUGUAAACGCCACCAAACACUGCUUCUCCACACCGCAAAUAUGUACCCAGCUGUGCUCCCACUUGUCCAACCAUCUUGGUAAGAGUGGGUUUUGGAUCCCUUAACUUGCUCCUUUUCCCAUUCCAGCACUCUGAGUGAAGGAUGCAGCAUGAUCUUCACGCAGAAGGCAGCGCAGGGCUCUGUCCCUCUAUCUGCAGCACAGGCUUCAUAGGAUUUUAUUUCCAAGCCUUUUUGGAAUUGCCUUCUGCCUGCAACUUUGCUCUCAUUUUCUCCUGUUCCUUCAACUCGGAGCUGCUUUUUUGUGUGUGUGCUCUGCUCUAGAUGGCAGCAGGUCCCUGCGACACUCCUGUACGGAGCACCCAUGACACAGCUUCUGCACAAUGAUCCACUGAAGCAGAACGGCAAUAUUUAAAGGGAAAACACCAAGAACAUCUGAACAACAAAAAUAAUGAUACUCUGAAGAGAUCUGAAAAUUUUAUAUUAGAGAAGAUAUCAGGAAUGCUUUCCUACUUCUUAGGUACAUUAAACAUUUUAAUAAGUUUUAAAAA
Molecule: long non-coding RNA, 978 nt
Organism: Tympanuchus pallidicinctus (lesser prairie-chicken)
Lineage: Eukaryota; Metazoa; Chordata; Aves; Galliformes; Phasianidae
Exons: 2
Source: RefSeq, a predicted model, not a curated record